This 124-nucleotide small nuclear RNA is filed under the name Buceros rhinoceros silvestris. RNAcentral describes it as "U2 spliceosomal RNA". It matches the Rfam family "U2 spliceosomal RNA". From Rfam's summary of the family: U2 is a small nuclear RNA (snRNA) component of the spliceosome (involved in pre-mRNA splicing). Complementary binding between U2 snRNA (in an area lying towards the 5' end but 3' to hairpin I) and the branchpoint sequence (BPS) of the intron results the bulging out of an unpaired adenosine, on the BPS, which initiates a nucleophilic attack at the intronic 5' splice site, thus starting the first of two transesterification reactions that mediate splicing. The record is from Rfam by way of RNAcentral. Lineage: Eukaryota; Metazoa; Chordata; Aves; Bucerotiformes; Bucerotidae.
AUCGCUUCUUGGCCUUUUGGCUAAGAUCAAGUGUAGUAUCUACCAGUUAAGCUCAAGUCUUGGCAUGUCCACUCUUUGGGGACAUUAUCCUGCCCUGGCAUCAGGCUGGGCUGGGUGACCUCCU